CCUACGGGCGGCAGCAGUGGGGAAUAUUGGACAAUGGGCGAAAGCCUGAUCCAGCCAUGCCGCGUGUGUGAAGAAGGCCUUCGGGUUGUAAAGCACUUUCAGUGGGGAAGAAAGCCUUGGGGCUAAUACCCUCGAGGAAGGACAUCACCCACAGAAGAAGCACCGGCUAACUCCGUGCCAGCAGCCGCGGUAAUACGGAGGGUGCGAGCGUUAAUCGGAAUUACUGGGCGUAAAGCGCGCGUAGGCGGUCUGAUAAGCCGGUUGUGAAAGCCCCGGGCUCAACCUGGGAACGGCAUCCGGAACUGUCAGGUUAGAGUGCAGGAGAGGAAGGUAGAAUUCCCGGUGUAGCGGUGAAAUGCGUAGAGAUCGGGAGGAAUACCAGUGGCGAAGGCGGCCUUCUGGACUGACACUGACGCUGAGGUGCGAAAGCGUGGGUAGCAAACAGGAUUAGAUACCCGAGUAGUC
Molecule: ribosomal RNA, 465 nt
Filed under: Vreelandella stevensii
Lineage: Bacteria; Pseudomonadati; Pseudomonadota; Gammaproteobacteria; Oceanospirillales; Halomonadaceae
Description: partial 16S ribosomal RNA
Rfam family: Bacterial small subunit ribosomal RNA
Source: RNAcentral